Triticum aestivum (bread wheat) is the source of this 135-nucleotide non-coding RNA. Lineage: Eukaryota; Viridiplantae; Streptophyta; Magnoliopsida; Poales; Poaceae. The record is from Rfam.
AUGAUACUCCCUCUGUACCAAAUUAGUUAUCUUAAAUUUGUCUAGAUACGGAUGUAUGUAGACACAUUUUAGUGUUAGGUACAUCCGUAUCUAGACAAAUCUAAGACAAGUAAUUUGGGACGAAGGUAAUAGGAU